Molecule: ribosomal RNA, 1766 nt
Filed under: Parascaris univalens
Lineage: Eukaryota; Metazoa; Nematoda; Chromadorea; Rhabditida; Ascarididae
Description: SSU rRNA
Rfam family: Eukaryotic small subunit ribosomal RNA
Source: RNAcentral
CCCGAUUGAUUCUGUCGGCGGUUAUAUGCUUAUCUCAAAGGCUAAGCCAUGCAUGUCUAAGUUCAAAUGGCCUAUAAAGGUGAAACCGCGAACGGCUCAUUACAACAGCUAUUAUAUACUUGAUCUUGAUAUCCUACGUGGAUAACUGUGGUAAUUCUAGAGCUAAUACAUGCACCAAAGCUCCGAUUUUCUGACGAGCGCAUCUAUUAGAUUAAAACCAAUCGGGUUUCGGCCCGUUAAUUGGUGACUCUGAAUAACUAUAGCUGAUCGAUGGUCUCGAACCGGCGACGUGUCUAUCAAGUGUCUGCCUUAUCAACUGUCGAUGGUAGUUUAUGUGCCUACCAUGGUUGUAACGGGUAACGGAGAAUAAGGGUUCGACUCCGGAGAGGGAGCCUGAGAAAUGGCUACCACAUCCAAGGAAGGCAGCAGGCGCAAAUUACCCACUCUCGGCAUGAGGAGGUAGUGACGAAAAAUAACGAGACCGUUCUCUAUGAGGCCGGUUAUCGGAAUGGGUACAAUUUAAACCCGUUAACGAGGAACUAUGAGAGGGCAAGUCUGGUGCCAGCAGCCGCGGUAAUUCCAGCUCUCAAAGUGUAUAUCGUCAUUGCUGCGGUUAAAAAGCUCGUAGUUGGAUCUGCGCCUCAGGAUCUGGUCCGCCCACUGGGCGAGAACUGGGCUCCUGGGCUAGUUCUGCUGGUUUUCCCUACGUUGCCUUCAUCGGUCGCGUAGGGUGGCUAGCGAGUUUACUUUGAAAAAAUUAGAGUGCUUAACGCGGGCUUAUGUCUGAAUACUCGUGCAUGGAAUAAUAGAAUAGGAUCUCGGUUCUAUUUUUUGGUUUUCUGAUCUGAGAUAAUGGUUAAGAGGGACGGACGGGGGCAUUCGUAUCGCUGCGUGAGAGGUGAAAUUCUUGGACCGUAGCGAGACGUCCGACUGCGAAAGCAUUUGCCAAAAUGUCUUCAUUAAUCAAGAACGAAAGUCAGAGGUUCGAAGGCGAUCAGAUACCGCCCUAGUUCUGACCGUAAACGAUACCAACUAGCGUUCCGUCGGCGGUAAAUAUGCCUUGACGGGUAGCUUCCCGGAAACGAAAGUCUUUCGGUUCCGGGGGAAGUAUGGUUGCAAAGCUGAAACUUAAAGAAAUUGACGGAAGGGCACCACCAGGAGUGGAGCCUGCGGCUUAAUUUGACUCAACACGGGAAAACUCACCUGGCCCGGACACCGUAAGGAUUGACAGAUUGAGAGCUCUUUCUUGAUUCGGUGGUUGGUGGUGCAUGGCCGUUCUUAGUUGGUGGAGUGAUUUGUCUGGUUUAUUCCGAUAACGAGCGAGACUCUAGCCUAUUAAAUAGUCAUCGGAUAAACAAGUCCGGAAGACUUCUUAGAGGGACAGCGGUAUACAGCCGCAUGAAGUUGAGCAAUAACAGGUCUGUGAUGCCCUUAGAUGUCCAGGGCUGCACGCGCGCUACACUGGAGGAAUCAGCGUGCUGUAACCAUUGCCGAAAGGUAUUGGUAACCCCUUGAAAAUCCUCCGUGAUCGGGAUCGGGAAUUGCAAUUAUUUCCCUUGAACGAGGAAUUCCUAGUAAGUGUGAGUCAUCAGCUCACGUUGAUUACGUCCCUGCCCUUUGUACACACCGCCCGUCGCUGCCCGGGACUGAGCCGUUUCGAGAAAAGCGGGGACUGCUGUUUCGAGACCUUUCGAGGUGGAGAUUCUUUGGUGGAAACCGCCUUAAUCGCAGUGGCUUGAACCGGGCAAAAGUCGUAACAAGGGUCG